RNAcentral lists this ribosomal RNA (441 nucleotides) under uncultured bacterium. Its description in RNAcentral is "partial 16S ribosomal RNA". It matches the Rfam family "Bacterial small subunit ribosomal RNA", at positions 338 to 795 of the family's 1533-position model. The record is from RNAcentral.
CCUACGGGAGGCAGCAGUGGGGAAUAUUGCACAAUGGGGGAAACCCUGAUGCAGCAACGCCGCGUGAAGGAAGACGGUUUUCGGAUUGUAAACUUCUGUUCUUAGUGAAGAAUAAUGACGGUAGCUAAGGACCAAGCCACGGCUAACUACGUGCCAGCAGCCGCGGUAAUACGUAGGUGGCAAGCGUUGUCCGGAAUUACUGGGAGUAAAGGGAGCGCAGGCGGGAAGCCAAGUCAGCUGUGAAAGCUACGGGCUUAACCUGUAGACUGCAGUUGAAACUGGUUUUCUUGAGUGAAGGAGAGGUAAGCGGAAUUCCGAGUGUAGCGGUGAAAUGCGUAGAUAUUCGGAGGAACACCGGUGGCGAAGGCGGCCAUCUGGGCUUUAACUGACGCUGAGGCUCGAAAGUGUGGGGAGCGAACAGGAUUAGAUACCCGAGUAGUC